GAUGAACGCUGGCGGCGUGCCUAAUACAUGCAAGUCGAGCGAACGGACGAGAAGCUUGCUUUUCUGAUGUUAGCGGCGGACGGGUGAGUAACACGUGGAUAACCUACCUAUAAGACUGGGAUAACUUCGGGAAACCGGAGCUAAUACCGGAUAAUAUUUUGAACCGCAUGGUUCAAAAGUGAAAGACGGUCUUGCUGUCACUUAUAGAUGGAUCCGCGCUGCAUUAGCUAGUUGGUAAGGUAACUGCUUACCAAGGCAACGAUGCAUAGCCGACCUGAGGGGGAGGUCGCACAGACGGGAUGAGAGACUCAGCACAGACACCUGCGGGAGGAAGCGGUAGAGAAUCUUCCGCAAUGGGGGAGAGCCUGACGGAGCAACGUGGCGUAAGUGAUGAUCGUCUUCGGAUCGGAAAACUCUGUUAUUCGGGAAGAACAAAUGUGUAAGUAACUGUGCAGAUCUUGACGGUACCGAGUCAGAAAGCCACGGCUAACUACGUG
This 497-nucleotide ribosomal RNA is filed under the name uncultured bacterium. Its description in RNAcentral is "partial 16S ribosomal RNA". It matches the Rfam family "Bacterial small subunit ribosomal RNA", at positions 28 to 507 of the family's 1533-position model. The record is from RNAcentral.